UACGUAUGGUGCAAGCGCUGUCCGGAAUUAUUGGGCGUAAAGAGCUCGUAGGCGGUUUGUCGCGUCGAAUGUGAAAACCCGGGGCUCAACCCCGGGCCUGCAUUCGAUACGGGCAGACUAGAGUUCGGUAGGGGAGUCUGGAAUUCCUGGUGUAGCGGUGAAAUGCGCAGAUAUCAGGAGGAACACCGGUGGCGAAGGCGGCCUGCUGGGCAGUUGCUGACACUGAGGCGCGACAGCGUGGGGAGCAAACAGG
RNAcentral lists this ribosomal RNA (253 nucleotides) under uncultured bacterium. RNAcentral's name for it is "partial 16S ribosomal RNA". It matches the Rfam family "Bacterial small subunit ribosomal RNA", at positions 524 to 776 of the family's 1533-position model. The record is from RNAcentral.